CACGUAGGGGCCAAGCGUUGUCCGGAUUUAUUGGGCGUAAAGAGCUCGUAGGCGGUUGGGUAAGUCGGGUGUGAAAAACUCUGGGCUCAACUCAGAGACGCCACCCGAUACUGCUCUGACUUGAGUCCGGUAGGGGAGUGGGGAAUUCCUGGUGUAGCGGUGGAAUGACGCAGAUAUCAGGAGGAACACCGGUGGCGAAGGCGGGUCUCUGGGCCGAUACUGACGCUGGAGGAGCGAAAGCGUGGGGAGCGAACAGG
This 257-nucleotide ribosomal RNA is filed under the name uncultured bacterium. RNAcentral describes it as "partial 16S ribosomal RNA". It matches the Rfam family "Bacterial small subunit ribosomal RNA", at positions 524 to 776 of the family's 1533-position model. The record is from RNAcentral.